This 871-nucleotide long non-coding RNA is filed under the name Dermacentor andersoni. Its description in RNAcentral is "uncharacterized LOC126521622". Lineage: Eukaryota; Metazoa; Arthropoda; Arachnida; Ixodida; Ixodidae. The record is from RNAcentral.
UUAAAAGACUGUACAAAAGACGCACAGGGACACACAGCGCUAACUUUCAACAAUGUUUAUUAUCGAAAACCAGGUCGUACAUAUACACUUAACGAACACGAGUCACAGCCACGUGAACAGAUAAACAUUCAGAGCGAAACAUUUUUAUAAGUGAUAUGUUAAGCCAUGCGCAAAAAUUUUAGUUCUUUUUCAGAGAGGGCCAAUGACGGUUUGCUGAUACAGGAGUCCCCUUGGGCAUUAAUCUGCUCGGCUUCUGUUAUAAGUCUAGUCAGUCCGCACUUAUUUCUACCAGUAAUGGCUGUUGAUUCGAAGAGAGGGGAGCACUUAUGUUGCUUGCAACUAAGGGAGAGAAACCCAUCUGGUGCAACUUUGUCGACUUUAUUUUUGUGUUCACGCAGUCUAUCAUUAAUGCAUCUGCCCAACUGUCUGAUGUAACACUUUCCGCACGAUAAGGGUAUGCGAUAUAUAAUUGAUGUCUUACAAUCUUAACUUCUUCCUGUGUUUAACUUGGCAGCUAGGAGCACUUUCUUUCUUUUCUAAUCUUGUUUUCCUGCACAAGCUGUCCCAUCUGUUUCAAGCAACCUGUACUUAGCUAAGCUAGACAGAGAACAGUAUUCAUGCAUUAAUGAUACAAAAGUUACAAUAUUUAGAUUUGUUGAUUUUUUUAGUGUUUGUCAAUGUUAAGCUAGACAACUUUGACACAAAAGUGUUCAGCUGUGAGUAACAUUAUACGCGUGUGCCUUUGUCCACUGUAAGUUAGGUUCAAAGUGCCCAUAGAACAAAAAAUUAAGUUUCUUUAUGUUAAAUUUACCUUCGGUGAUCUAACAUGCUGGUGCUACAGUCCCAGGACAAAUAAACCGUUGUCAUAUCA